GCAUGAUUGGUGUAGUGGUAUCGCGCCAUGUUAGGGUCAUGGAGGUCCUCGGUUCAAUCCCGGGAUCGUGCC
This 72-nucleotide transfer RNA is filed under the name Mrakia frigida. RNAcentral's name for it is "tRNA-Pro (AGG) (tRNA-Pro-AGG-1 1 to 4)". It matches the Rfam family "tRNA". Rfam says of the family: Transfer RNA (tRNA) molecules are approximately 80 nucleotides in length. Their secondary structure includes four short double-helical elements and three loops (D, anti-codon, and T loops). Lineage: Eukaryota; Fungi; Basidiomycota; Tremellomycetes; Cystofilobasidiales; Mrakiaceae. The record is from RNAcentral.